UACGAAGGGGGCUAGCGUUGCUCGGAAUUACUGGGCGUAAAGCGCACGUAGGCGGCUUGUUAAGUCAGGGGUGAAAUCCUGGAGCUCAACUCCAGAACUGCCUUUGAUACUGGCGAGCUUGAGUUCGGGAGAGGUGAGUGGAACUGCGAGUGUAGAGGUGAAAUUCGUAGAUAUCAGGAGGAACAUCUGCGGCGAAGGCGGCUUCUGGCUCAUUACUGACGUCAGGUACGAAAGCGUGGGUAGCAACAGG
RNAcentral lists this ribosomal RNA (250 nucleotides) under uncultured bacterium. RNAcentral describes it as "partial 16S ribosomal RNA". It matches the Rfam family "Bacterial small subunit ribosomal RNA", at positions 524 to 775 of the family's 1533-position model. The record is from RNAcentral.